AACGCUGGCGGCGUGCCUAACACAUGCAAGUCGAGCGAUUACUUCGGUAAAGAGCGGCGGACGGGUGAGUAACGCGUGGGUAACCUGCCUCAUACACAUGGAUAACAUACCGAAAGGUAUGCUAAUACAGGAUAAUAUAAGAGAUUCACAUGGAUUUCUUAUCAAAGCUCCGGCGGUAUGAGAUGGACCCGCGUCUGAUUAGCUAGUUGGUAAGGUAAUGGCUUACCAAGGCGACGAUCAGUAGCCGACCUGAGAGGGUGAUCGGCCACAUUGGAACUGAGACACGGUCCAAACUCCUACGGGAGGCAGCAGUGGGGAAUAUUGCACAAUGGGCGAAAGCCUGAUGCAAGCAACGCCGCGUGAGUGAUGAAGGCCUUCGGGUCGUAAAACUCUGUCCUCAAGGAAGAUAAUGACGGUACUUGAGGAGGAAGCCCCGGCUAACUACGUGCCAGCAGCUGC
RNAcentral lists this ribosomal RNA (459 nucleotides) under uncultured bacterium. RNAcentral describes it as "bacterial SSU rRNA". It matches the Rfam family "Bacterial small subunit ribosomal RNA", at positions 32 to 518 of the family's 1533-position model. The record is from RNAcentral.